CGCGAGAGGGCUGAAUUCGCAGCUCGCGCCACUUCCUUCGCUGGCUAAGCUGGCAUUCCCGCGGCGCACCUCGAGCCAAGCACGUCUACGUCGUCGUCGUACGCGCGUAUUUUUCUCGACUCCGCGUCCCGCGAUAUCCCGCACUGCGCUUUAGCACUGCAGUUCGCUCGCAACGUUUCGCACGUGUUUUUCCCGCGUGUUACUACCCCGCCACGCUCUCGAACUCGAAUUUCGAACUUGAUCCCGACCGUUGGACUCUCUCUCUCUCUCUCUCGCUUCGAUGCUGUGAACUGUGAACUGUGUGACAAGUGCAAGUGUUGUUGUUGUUGUUGUUUUGUCCAUUGGUCGACUCUGUCAAACUCUGACCAGUACCAAUUUACUCGAGUGUUUAUUAUAGUGCUUCGUGAUUACAUAUUCGCUCUGUAUUAUUGCAGUUUACAAGUGUUUUCGAAACAAUACCGAGUCGGAAUAAUCAACGAGUAAUUCCCGCUGAAAUUGUGGAUUCAACUGUCAUGUGGAUGCUGUCGAUCCUUGAAAGUACCGCUCGUAUUUCUCGGAGUUUUUAACUACUGAAAAUCCAGAAAUGAGUCAUCGGUAAACAAAAGUUUAAAGAGAUCAGUAAAUUGAUUCAACGCUGCAUCAGGAUGCGUUACCUUCUAUUACUGAUAUUCCUGACGGGAAUACUUGCGAACGAUAACAGCACUCUCGAUGGCAGUUUAGAAGUCACCGAUUCAGUCAAUUACGAAGCGGAUCAAUUAAAUCAGGGUACUGCUUUUGGAGAAUGGUCGCCUUGCUCACGAACAUGCGGAGGGGGAAUAUCGAGACAACAAAAGCGAUGUCGUCGUAAACCUUGCAAAGGCAGAACUUGGAAUUACAAGUAUAAAAUUUGCAACUUACAGCCGUGUAGCACGCCAACGGACCCAAGAGCCGAGCAGUGCGCAACUUAUGACAACAGGCCCUACAGCGAGCAAUUAUUCAAAUGGUAUCCUUAUUACGAUCCCUCAAGGCCUUGCGCAUUAAUCUGUCGUGGGGAACGUCAGAAUAAUAUUUCUCCUCUUUCGUCAGCGAGUAAGGCUGACGAAAGAGUUCUGGUGAACGGUGAACUUGGCAGCGCUGAAGAGUAUACCGAGUCCACCGAAUCGAUCGUGGCCCAACUGGCUGACAAAGUUCAAGAUGGUACCAAGUGCUAUCCUGGCAGCCAUGAUGUUUGCAUCAACGGCGAGUGCCAGCGAGUUGGCUGUGAUCUCAAAGUUGGAAGCAAUAAAAAUAAGGACGCUUGCGGAAUUUGCGGUGGCGACGGUUCGACUUGCGACAGUAAAUAUGCUUGGACUUUAGAAUCGACAUCAGCGUGUUCUGAAUCAUGCGGAGGAGGUUUCAAAAUUGUAACGCCCAUGUGCAAAUCAACUGGACCAGACAGCAAAAUCGUCGAUAAUUCAAUGUGUGAAACCGAAUCAAAGCCCGACAAGCUUCUGUUGCCGUGCAAUACUCUUCCGUGUUCAACAAAGUGGCUGACAGGCGAGUGGAGCAAGUGCAGCGUAUCCUGCGGUGGUGGUUCUCGAAGUCGCCCAGUUUUCUGUACCGAAGAAAAUGGCAACGCCACGAGCAAGAUCCCGGAAUAUAAAUGCAACGUAAACCACAAGCCAAAAUUCCAGGAAAUCUGCAAUGCUUUUUCCUGUCCUAUGUGGGAAGCCGGUGAAUGGAGUGAGUGCUCAACGAGUUGCGGCAAAGGUGUAAAAACUCGUAGUGUCGAAUGCCGUGAUGGCAAGGGUCGUUUAUCCAACGAAUGCGACAGAUCUCAGCAACCACGUGCUGAAAUAGAAUGUAAAGGAACUAGUUCCGAUUGCUCCAGUCUGGAUGACCCUCACGCUCAGCCGUUGACGCAACAGUAUCCCUCUGUACCGAUUCCAGAAAAGCUCAUCGAUCAGCCUGUACCUUCCCAAUCGACUUUCAUAGCGGAUGAAUGGUCACCGUGCAGUGUUCGUUGCGGAGAAGGAGUUCGUCAUCGAGAGGUGCAUUGCAAGAUUUUCCUCGAAUUUAGCCGCACAAUAGCUGAUCUUCCAGAUCAUCAGUGCUCUGGGCCGAAACCCAUCGAGACAGAAAAAUGCAAUAUGGGACCGUGUACGACCGAGGACAAUAGUUUGACGUACCGAGUCGACCCAGCCAGUGACAGCAAAUACGCAGAGUCAAGUCUCACUGAUACCGAGUUUAGAUCAGCGUCAUCAGCUCUAGCGUCUAGUAGUAACAGUGGUGCCUCUUCCUCGUCAUCGUCCGGCCGCUCGUCUGCUUCUAGUUCCUACGAUGGUAACGUCAAAGUAGCACCAGGCAGCAGUAUCAAAACUACGUACUCGUGGAAAGAGGUUGGCUAUACCGACUGCAGUGCCACUUGUUUGGGUGGUGUGCAAGAUUUGAUUAUAACUUGUGUCAGAGACGAUACAGGUAAAACAGUUAUGCCUUUACUGUGCUCCGCUGAUACUAAACCAGAGUCAAGGAUAAGAGUUUGUAACGACCACCCAUGUCCCCCGAGAUGGAACACAAGCGAGUUUUCACCUUGCAUGAGUCCCUGCGGUCUUGGCAUUCAGACCCGUGAAGUUAAUUGCAUCCAUGAGGUAACGCGUGGCACUGGAAAUACGGUAGUCGUACCGAAUCAUAUGUGCCCGCAGCCACCUCCGGUUGAUCGACAAUACUGCAAUGUAUGGGAUUGUCCAGUACAGUGGAGCGUAGGCGAAUGGGGCAAGUGCUCAAAAACUUGCGGUGGUGGAGUGAAAAAGCGCAAAGUGAUAUGCGAGCAAGUAAUGGCGCAGGGACGAAAACAAACACGUGCAGAGCGUGAUUGCCCAACGCCCAGGCCACGCACAGAAAAGGAAUGCAAUUCUCGCCCUUGCGAUCAAGCGAAUCCUGCGGUCAAGCCUAUUAUUACCUCCAAGAAUGUCACUUUCGUUCAAGAGGAUCCAGAUAGAAAAGUUAAUUUGGAUAUCGGUGGACAGGCGACUAUUUUUCAAGGCACGCCAGUUAUCAAGAUUCGUUGUCCCGUUAAAAAAUUUGACAAGGCACAUAUUGUUUGGCGCAAAGAUCAUGAAGAAUUACGAAAAUCGCGCAAGUACAAAAUCAACAAAAAAGGAGCUUUAAAAAUAGUUGAUAUAAACUUUUCUGACAGUGGCGUAUACUCUUGUUGGGCCGGACAAACCAACGCUGCAAUGCAUCUUGUAGUAAGAUCAAAGAAUCGCGACCUCAUGAGCAACGAAGAAGUUUUACGUUCUGGUAAUGCGGUACAUCAGCGUCAGGGAGCUCAUCUCAGCUCUGCUCCAGUUAACUCAGAACCUUUUUAUGGCAUUUACAAUGAAGAAAGUCAAGAGGCUCAGUUGGAAAAUGAAAGAUCAACGGAAAAACCUCGAAAAAAAAACAAAAAACAAACAUCCAGUCCCUCUCCAAGUGGCUCAACGGGAAAAUUCGACUACUCAGUCACGCCCAUACAUCAGCCAGUAGAAUCUACAGCUACUUCAAGCGCCUCUACACUAUCCCCUCAUCUGAGUUAUAUUGUAACUACUAUAAAGAGUUACUGGCCAUUUCAAGGAUCAUCGAAUUCCCCAUCGGGACGUAGCAUUGAUGAUUCAACUCAGUGGCAAAGCUGGCAUAGUUCCGAUCAACGUGCUCCAAUGACAACGGCUAUGAGUCAGCAUCGAGCAAGUUCAGAAUAUGACUAUGCGGUUGAAUCAUCUAUUAAUUCUAAACCAACGCAAGCAGAGUACGAUUUUUUCCGUGGUAAUACUGCUAUUCCAGACAACACUUUCGGUCCUGACGAGGAGCGAAUUUUCAUCGACGAUGAUCCAUUUGAAGCCGAGGAAGUAUCCUUCGCAAUAGAACACAAGAACAAUGAACGUUCUCGUGAGUCCGAAAUCUCGAGCACCGAAACACCGAGCGUAUCUAUGAUAAGCUACGAGACAUAUCAUCCAACUCGAGCUCGUCAUCAUCACGGAACUGAUAGCACCUUAGUACAUCCUCAUCGUCAUGGAAUUUCAUCUUCACCUUCAACGUCAAGUUCGAAUACGACUCCAAUUCUCAAUUCCGAUGAUGUUCCGGAUCAAUUCAAUGUGGCAACUGAUGCACAACUAAUUUCGAGAAGCGGUUUGAAAGAACGUGGCGAUGCAAAAAUGAAUGAGUCCACCGCAACUACUCCAUUGAUUAAUAUGGAAAACGAUAAUGAGCAGACCCAUCAAUUUGGAGAUAUUUCAACGUUGCCAGCAGACGCUUUUGAUUCCUCACUUACUCCCGAUAAUGUAUUAGAUCUGGAAAAUGAUACUUUAAUAGAAAAUAAAGAAGUAAUUGUUCCCACAUUUGAAUUACUGGCAGAAAAUAUCUCUAGCACCGGUAAAGCUGGUAAAGACAUGAUGAGACAUGUUGAUACUCCUAUUUUGUUUACGGUCGCUCCAACUCAAGAAAAUAAAACUGUAACGCCAUUUGUACUUAGUAACGAAGAUAAAAACCGUGAACCGACUAUUGGUACUAUCGCCAAUUUUACCAAAGAUAAUUUAAUUUUUGAAUGGGUUACUACUGAUUGGUCAAGAUGUUCUCAAUCAUGUGGAGGAGGUGGAUUUCAAAUGCGUGGUGCUCAGUGCACUGUUCGUUCAGUCAAAAAUGAUACAAGCGAUAUGAAAAUGCCAGUGCGAACCGUUAUGGGACCGUCUCUUUGUGAAGAUGCAGGCCUUCCAGUUCCCGAGAAGGUACGAGCUUGUGGUACUGGAAAAUGUCCUCAAUGGCAUACUACCGAAUGGUCUUCGUGUGAAACUUCUCGAUGCUUUAAUUGGAAGACUGCUAUGCAAAGAAGAGAGAUAUCUUGUCGGCUCGCUGAAGAGACGAGCGAAGGUGUUGAUAUUUCGACUGUAGUUGACAUGAGUAAAUGCGACGAGUCAAUGAGACCACCCCAAAGACAAGAAUGCUACAAUGAUGCUUGUAAAGGAGUUUGGAGGGUCGGUGAAUGGUCAGAGUGUUCGGCUUCAUGCGAAGAAGAUGGAAUAAAAUAUAGAAUAUUGCAAUGCGUUUGGUACGGUACCAAGAAACCCGCUGGAAACGUGUGUAGAAAUUUACCUCGACCACCUGUCAUGAAGACAUGUCGAGGUCCACCAUGUGCAAAAUCUUCAGAUGACUGUAAAGAUCAUUCGAAACUCUGUGGACGAGUAAAAUUGAUGGGAAUGUGCCGGGUGCCUCUUUAUGCGAAGCAAUGUUGCAAUUCUUGUCAUCAAGAUAAAAAAGUAUGAAUUUAAUGGUCUUCGAUACGCCAAAAAAAAUAAUUUGAUAUACCUGACGCUAGUACACGGCAUCUUUUGAUUGAAUUGGAUAAAAAUACAGCUCUGACUAAAAAUUUUAAUGUCAACAGAAAUUUUAUUUCACUGAUUUUUUCAAUGGUAUACUAGUUAAAGCCCCAAAAUAUAAUCAAUACCUCGAAUGUAUUAAUUACCAUGUGGUAGAAAUUUGGAUUUGCAAAAAAAAUUGCGAUUUUUUUUAUAAAAUAAUUGUUAAGACUGAAAUUAAAUGCUGAAUUUCCUUGAUGCUUAUUCCAUUCAAUAAGAAUAAUCAAAUUUUUUGUAUCAUGUUAUCAAUUGAAAUGAAAAAUAUUAGUUUUUGAUUUAUCAUGUUUAUUUCAUCUUCUUAAAAUAUAUCUGUUCUAUAUGAAUUCGAAUUUUAAUCGUAAAAGUUGAAUUUGUUAACUGAAGGAAAAAGAACUACCACAAAGUGGAUUAUUCAAAAUAUACAACAUAUGCAUAUUUGUAUGUAUCAAAUUACUCGACGUAUGCCUACAAAAAUAAGUCCUGACAGGAUGAAUUUGUGAAGCCAAUAGAUUUAAGCAAUAACAAAUAUGUACAGGCAACUGUAAAAUAAUAUUUUGUUAAAAUAACAAGUAUGUCAGAAAUCCUUUGACAGAUGAUUAUCCACUACAAGGUGAAACGGAUAAAAAUUUGAUGGUAAGGGCAAUUUAAAAUAUAAUGUAGAGAUGGUUUUUUAUUGUUAACGUACUCUCGCCAUCGACAAAUUUGCCUCAAAAAUGAAUGGCAUAGCAGUAAUCGGGCCAAAUUAAAGUGAAUGAAGCUUGACUUUAUAAGAUAAAAUGAUAUAUUAAACUUUUUUUAUAUUAAUGGUGUGGACGCCGAAACAAUUAGUUUAAUUUUAAAAAUGUAUGAAAGUAUGUUGAAGUAAUUUUGUCUUCAUUUACAUCUUCUAUUCCAAUUGAACGACUGGAAAAUUGUAUUCUUGUGCUCACACUCAAUUUUUGCAUUUUAUUUACAAUUUUUACUACGUAUUUAAUAAUUGUAACUGUGAAUUGUAGUUCUGUAAAAAGAUUUUUAUAUAUUACAUAAAUCAUCAUAUUAAAUUAAGUUACUUGUACUAUUUAAAGUAUAGAAACUAAGGUCUUUAAGUAAAAAAACUUCCUAUAAAAAAUUUGGCGAGUAAAAUUUGUAUGGAUACACUCUUGGAGUGUAACAACUUCACUUGCUCAAAGUAAAAAUUUAUUGUAAAUAUCGUUAAUGAACGAUAGCUAUCUUAUAUCAAUAUAUCUUGUAUGAAUAUUCUCAUAUUCUAUAGAAAGCAUCACUCUGGUUAGUUUUCUAAAGUAUAAAAUCGAGUAAAAACAAAGAUAAUAUUAACUUUUGCAGAAAAGUACUCGUAAAAAGAACAUGUUUAUCGGCGAUUGUUGGUUUGAAAUAUGAAAUGAAAUUUAUUUUUGCCUUAUCAUGUGAAUAAGAGGGCGAAAAGGAACUACGAUUUUUGUACAUAGCAAAAGUGGUUUCUCCUCAAACUCAAUAUUAUAAUAUAAUUAAUGAUACGAAACGAAGUUAUUUAUAAAACUUUAUUACACUUAUGUAAAUAUUGCAACUGCCUGAUUCUCAUAUGCAUGAGCACACAAAUAAAAUGUAUAUAUGUACGCGUA
RNAcentral lists this unclassified non-coding RNA (6922 nucleotides) under Trichogramma pretiosum. Its description in RNAcentral is "protein madd-4, transcript variant X3". Lineage: Eukaryota; Metazoa; Arthropoda; Insecta; Hymenoptera; Trichogrammatidae. The record is from RNAcentral.